Molecule: small RNA, 24 nt
Filed under: Arabidopsis thaliana (thale cress)
Lineage: Eukaryota; Viridiplantae; Streptophyta; Magnoliopsida; Brassicales; Brassicaceae
Source: RNAcentral
ACGGUACUAAAGGUCCUCGGACUU